This 45-nucleotide non-coding RNA is filed under the name Schistosoma curassoni. The record is from RNAcentral. Lineage: Eukaryota; Metazoa; Platyhelminthes; Trematoda; Strigeidida; Schistosomatidae.
AUGAAGCUGACGAGUCUCAAAUAGGACGAAACGCGCGUCCUGGAU